AAAUAAGAAGCAAAAUUUGCAUUUAGUUUCGACCUAAAAAUUGAUUUUUAUUAAUCCUUAUUUA
RNAcentral lists this transfer RNA (64 nucleotides) under Afissula kambaitana. RNAcentral's name for it is "tRNA-Arg". Lineage: Eukaryota; Metazoa; Arthropoda; Insecta; Coleoptera; Coccinellidae. The record is from RNAcentral.